This is a non-coding RNA of Equus caballus (horse), 6530 nucleotides long. The record is from RefSeq and is a predicted model, not a curated record. Lineage: Eukaryota; Metazoa; Chordata; Mammalia; Perissodactyla; Equidae.
UUCUCCUAGAGAAAAGGAACAGGGCAGGUCGUUAGAUUCAGAGUUUCCUCCAUCCGGGAGAAGUGAAGUUCAGUGGCGUGUCACCGUCCCACACAACACCCUCACCCUCCACAGUCUUCGAAUCUUGGUUCAAAGGACUAAUUAUCAAUUCAAGCGUCUAUUCCUGGACCACGGAAAGAACAGCAUGGUUAUAUGGAGGAAACAGUAGUGCAACAGGAAAUAUAUUUCUGUAAGUGAAAAGAACAACCCUAUCAAGCAGGCAGAAAUCUGGUACAAAUGAGAAGGCACCAACCAUGUAGUAAGACGAUGCAUCACUUACUAGCUGUGGGACUUUGAACAAGUUAUUUAACCUCUCUGGAACUCAGUGUCCUCAUCUGUCAAAGUAGGAUAUUUACACCGUCCUCAGAGAAAGUUCAAAAAUUGGAUUUUAAAAUUAUAAAAAAGAGCUUAAUAAACUAUAAAGUCAAUAAAAUAUCAGUUAUUAUGAUCAGGCAGGACAGUUAAUUAUCAAUCCCAUUUUACGGAUGAGAAACUAAAGAUGAAAGAGAUGAAGCCAAUUGUCCCAGUGUUACAGGCAGAAAUUGGCAGUCCCCGUGAGGACUGCGGUCUCAUCACGCCUGACUGUCUGGUCUUCAUCACACACUGUAUCAGGAUCAGAAACUCGGUAUCUCUCUUGCAUACUUUCUCUUAGGCUAAAGAUUUGGGAAGACAGAAAUAAGUAAGGACAAUGACUAGGAGAAUCCGUGACUCUGGCAUAAACAAAGGAUUGGUCCAUUCAAAUUCUGUAAUACAAGCAGGAUGCCUCCUCAGCAUGGCUGAUGAGUGGAGUAGGUCCAUGCCCAGGAUCUGAAUCCUUGGACCCGGGAUGCGGAAGUAGAGCGAGCAGACCUUUAACCACUCGACAAUGGGGCCGGCUCUCAAUGUGAUGUUUUUAAGGUGUACAAUGUGAUGAUUUAACAUUAGAAGAUGUUAGUGCAUAAGGGCAUUGGAAAUGCACAUAGGGAAAGAUUGGUUUUGUCCCCAGUAAAGUGUAUUUCAGGCUUUAUGAUCAAAAGAGUACAUACCUAUUAUUUUCCAGUUAAAAAUUACUUCAUAUAAAUUCAUGUUUAUGUAAGUAUUUAUAUUUGACAAUCCUCACACUUGUUAUUUAAUAACUUUUAUUAAAAGACAAAUAUUUCAGAGUCACUUCAAAACAAAAAUUGAUAAGGCUGGCAGCUGGCUAGCAGUGCCCCUGACUCAAGUUUAGCAGCUGGUGUGCUAAAUGGAAUGUGGCGUGGUCUCUGAAGAACGUGCCUGUAGAAGUCAACCACCAUCACUGCACGCUGCGGUGUGGGACGUAAUAACCGCCUGACUCCCCACCACAUCCAAAGCUUCUCUGGAUCGAGGGACCCAUACUGUCCUCUCUGGACAGCUUCCCCCGACAGAGCCCGUGCACCCUGGCCUUCCUUCUUCUGACCCUAGGAGAGAGCCACGCUUGCGAAGAGUUAACACAAGCUGUGACGGUGUUGUCACAGUAGCAGCACUUUUUUAAAAGAGAGACCAUUCUGCCAGUUGAAAGAAGAGAUGCCAGGAAUUUAGAUAAUAGGCACUUAUUUGGGCCUGAGAUGAUAACUUAUCAUCAUAUCAGCAUUACAGAAUUCUAUCAAUUCUCGCCAAGUCUACAAGUGAUGAGUAGAGCCAACAAUCAUAGGAAACCUAACCGCUUUUACACAUUGCGUUAUUUAAAAAUCAUCCAGUGUUUGCAUAAUUCUUACAUUCAGUGAUCUACUGCCUGGAUUGUAUAGUUACUCCCCUGACAAUGUGAAAAAUCCUUCUGUUGCCUGCCCUAACAGAGAGAGACUGCUCUUCUCCAGUGCUUAUCUAGCUCUGGUAAAACUUUUGGGCAGGCCCCUACAGGAACCAGGAUGUCUGAACACAUCUCACAGUCAUUUAUGGUGGCCAGUGACACCAGACUGACAACCAAUGAAGACCACUCAGAAAUCCUAGUACCAAAUUCAUACGCAUCCACUCGAUCAACAACCCCUGGGCUUCUGCCCUGUCACUCUGUUGAAGGCAGCCUGUUACAAUGCUAUAAGUAUACAAGAAAGACUACAAUACUCCUAGGCCUCUAUAAUUGAAAGACUGUGCAUACAGCCAUCUCCCAAGUUGGAUACAUGACAUAGCUAGACAUAAUAAGACAAUGAUUAUAAUAAAAAAUAGUUCUAUUCAGUGAGUACUCACUAUGUGUUAUUAUGUUAGGCAAUUUGCAUGCAUCAUAUCUUUGAAUACUCAGCACACAACUACCCUAUGAAGCACUUGUAUUGACCCAUUUUGCAGAUCAGGCAGGGCUAAGUGCUUAUUACGGGCUGAACUGUAUCCCCUAAAAUUCAUAUGUUGAAGUCCUAACCGAGGACCUCGGAAUGUGACUAUAUUUGGAGAAGGGGUUUUUAAAGAGGUGAUUAAGUUAACAUGAGGCCAUUAGGGAGGGCCCUAACCCAAUAUGAUUAGCAUCCUUAUAAGAAGAGUAAAUUUGGACACAGCCGUGCACAGAGGGAGGACCAUGUGAAGAUUCAGGAAGGCGGCCACCUACAAGCCAAGAAGAGAGGCCCCAGAAGAAACCAACCCUGCCGACACCUUGAUCUGGCUUCUAGCCUCCAGAACUGUGAGAAAGUAAAAUUCCAUUGUUUAAGCCACCUAGUCUGGUAUUCGUUACCACAAAUACCUAGGUGAACAUAGAAAAUGAAUACAGUGCCCAAGGUCACAUCAUGACUGAGUGGCAGGGUUAGGACUCAACCUUAGUCUGAUGCUGGAGACCAUGUGAUCAACCAUUACAUUAUAUUGCUUCUGAACUGGGUGAAACAGCUGAACCUUGGCAGAAGAAAUGGGAUUCAAAAUCAAUCCACAGAACUAGGAAACUGCAAAACGUGAGGUUUAUAUUAACCCAAAGCUUAGUUAAGCACAGCCCCAAGGUGUGCCCAUGCAGCUAUAAAGUCUCCCAGGUUUGCUCUUAUAAAUGACCUGCUCGAUCUGUGCAGGGGCCAAUUAUGAUUCAAAUAGCUGCUCGAGUGAAACAUUAAUAACCCUGCAGGAGUCAAUCACUUUGGCAAUAAAAGACACUGAAUGGCGGUCAUCAUCCUACCCAUCAGAACUGAGCACAAAUACCCAUUGCAGGUGUGAGCCAGAUUUAUUAGAGAGCAGAGUUAAAAAAAAAAUUCUACUCUUAGAUUGUCCGAUGUAAUUUCAAAACACAACAGGAUCAUUAACUUCUUUGCCUUUUGUCAUUUACUGACCACCAGCAGGAUAUGAAGCAUAAAAACUUUCUCAGUAAUAGGAACCUGCCUGUCAGGGAUGGCCACUAAGAAACUGUCACCUUGAGUCCUUGUUUACUGGCUAACUGCACAACAGGAAUAUGUUCAGAAGUGGAUGUUCCAGUAGAUUCUCUGACUUUCUGCAAAUUUCUAAAAUAAGAAAGAAAGAUAAUGAUUUGGAAAUUCUCUUGGGUCCUUUGCUGGUCCUGGCCUUACAUGGAAUUUUACUUAUAUUCAUUCUCAUUCAUUCUCUCUCUGCCUCUCUCCCUCCACCCCUUUUCCUUCUGUGUAUCUCUCUCCUUUCUCCCCACUCUUUCUCAUCCUUGCAGCUGAAGUGAAUAACUCCAAUAUGGCAAAGCCAUGGGAGGAGAUGGGUUUGGAUGCCUGAAUCACCAGAGUGAGGGAAACUGCCCAGGAGAGCUGCCUGACCAUCUGCCUGACAUGUGAGAAAGAAUUAAGUUUGUAAUUUGUAAAGCUACCAAGACUUGGAAGUUGUUGGCUACAGUGAUUCUGAGCUUAAAAAGUUACCAUUAUAGUUUCCUGUUUUGCUUUUUUAUCAUCCUCUUCCGGAUUAAAUUAUAUCCUAACCUCCUUCCUUGAUGGCUUCAUAUUAACUAAGUAAUAAAAUUUCUAUGACCAGGUCGGUCUGUAUCACCACCACCCACUCUGUUUCAAGGGAACGAGAGACUGUUCUGAAGCAUUUAUAUACUGAAACAGACAUUUAUUAAGCACCUGACAUAUGCAGUCCUGGCAGUGACCUCAGCAUUUAUAUGCACUGCCCACUUAAUCCUCAUGACGACCACAUGAAGAAGUUAUCACUAGUGUCCUCUCUACCACAGAGGAAACUGAGGCAGAGGGAGGGAGGUAAGUACUAUUGGGUAGCAGAGCUGGAAUUCCAACUCAGCCAUCUGGCUGCAGGGCCAGCUCUCCACAGAGAAACUAGCCCUUUGUGCCAAAGUAAGUGCUGAACUGGUCUUUCAGGGGCCCCAAGUGUUGUCUCCAUUUAAAAACUACUUUUGAGGAGGAUAGGUAUUACUGAUACAAGGACUGUCCACAUUACAAAGGGACUCCUUUAAAGAAUGAAGGCAUGACUAAGAUUAAAAUGAAAUAACCUUAUAAAAUGCUGUUCACCUAAAGCUAUUUUGGGGGAAAGCACUACUGCAGACAGUAAGGCACACUCGCCUCUUUGCCCUGCCCUUAUCUGCCUGUGUGCUUCAUGUGGUUUGUAUCUGUGAAAGGAGAGAAUCAUCCAGAUUAUGCCAAGAGAUGGCAACAUAACGCAUUUGGCAAUUUUGACACUUGAUGGAAAAAAAUAAAACCAAAAAAUAUGUUAUUGUAACAAGAGGUCACCCCAGGUCCCUCUGUGGAAGAUUUAAAUGCUGUGCCCUGCACAGGCAGCUGAACACCUGCAGAUUCUUCAGCUCAAGAGACUUGGUGCCAGGACAAUCUUCCGUUCCGCUCCUGAGAGUACAGCAGUCACUGGCCUCCUGGGCUGUCCUUACUCCUGAUGUCAGAGGUUAAACAAGCAGAGGCUGCACAACGCUCACACACAGCUCCGUUUCCUUCUAGGCUGACCCAGUGUGGCACGUGUGAGUGCUGACAAGGGUGCCCAGGAGUGCCAAUGGUUGAAGCACUUUUAAUUCCUGAAGCCCAGGGCCUCAUCUAAGGCAAUUACACUUGGAUUCACAAAUACCAUGUAGAUCUGUUUACAGGUGUACUUGACAAAGACUAAAGUUUAAGGGUCAAGUUUUACAUGUCAGUCAGCCAAGACAAAAACCAGUCUCUACUUCCGUGCUGACAAAGCCCAUCACGCUAAAAAUAAUCUAAUUGAUGUCUCAAGAAAAAUGCACCCUGAAUUUCAAUCCAGUUUUAGAUGCUUAAAAUCUGAGCCUAUUCAUCUCCUCGUUCAAUAAAUUACAAGAUGAUUUGUAUGAAAGACAGUGGUAAUGGCUAAUUACUGAUGAAAAACUCAGAACUUAAAGUUUUAAAAUGAUCUCUGGGAAACAAGCAUUUUAGAUUGCAAAUAUUCCCACUGAAGCUGACAGGGUUAUUAUAUGAACUUAAAAGAAAAAAACAGGUAUACUUGAGGUGCAGAAAAAUUUUAAAAGGUCACACCUUUUCUUAAGAUUAACAUUUUACUUAGGGGAGCACACAUCUAUCUCUGUUUCUCUGUGUGUGGUGUGGUAAGGCUGGUACUUAGAAUGCCUGGACUCCUCUGGCCUCAGGACAUCCCCGGGAAACAGUCAAGUGCAGACACCACCACUCCAAGCUAAGGAACAUGGUGAUCCAGAAAGGCUGUUAGGAAAACUGGCUUUUAGAUUUCAAGACUUGGUGUUUUAAGCAUUAAAAUACAGAGCAAAGCUAUUUAUUCAAACUAUAAGUUGUAUAGAUCUAAAACCCUAAACACUUUUCUGUGAACCAAAGCAACUGUAUUCAAUGCAAAUAUCUCCCUCGUUCUACACUAGGAACUGCCAUAAAAAAAUGGACACAGUCACCCUACAUCUGAGCAUGGGAAGUAAAACCUCCGUACCAUCCGAGGAGCACCAUGUUAGAUUCUGGAAAUCAAAUGAUGAGAAACAGACUGAGUCCCUUCCCUCGUUAGGCUCACCAGGAAGAUUAAGUACAAGAGGCUCUGACAGCAGAAAGCAGGCGAAUGUGACCAAGUCCUGGGGGAUAACCGGAGGAUGAAUAGACGUCAAUUAGGCAGAAAGUGAGGAAAGUGGGGUAGCCUGUCCCAGCAACCAAUAACUACAGGCUGAGAGGCUUGGGGACAGGUCAGCAGUUCCUGUAACUGGAAGAAACUGGCGAGGCUGCAGAGCUCAAAGUAGGGGAGGGAACAGCGGCAUCAGAUAGCGGGAGAAGUUAGCAGGAGCUAGAUGACUGCACAGGGCUUGAGAGCACAGUAAAGACAUGGGAAGGUGGGAAGACACCGAAGGGUUAAAGGAAGAGAUGACAUGACCAAGUUCGCAUCUUAAUUAUUCCCAUCUUCACAAAGUUUUAGCUGAAGCAGAGAAUUAAGCAAAGGAACCUGAAAUAAGUUUGCAGAUAUAAAGGUAAAUCUAAGUCCACUGUAAUUUAAUCCAGAAAUAUGGGACAUCAGGUUUUCAUUAGCUUCCACUUUCCCUUAUUAUAGAAUGUGUAAAAGUACAGAUAUCUAAAAUCUGAUAGUAUAGACAAACAGAUCAAUGGAACAGGACAGUCCAGAAGUAAACUCACAUAAAUACAGUCAACUGGUGCUUGACA